GAGUGAACGCUGGCGGUAGGCCUAACACAUGCAAGUCGAACGGCAGCACAGUAAGAGCUUGCUCUUACGGGUGGCGAGUGGCGGACGGGUGAGGAAUACAUCGGAAUCUACUUUUUCGUGGGGGAUAACGUAGGGAAACUUACGCUAAUACCGCAUACGACCUACGGGUGAAAGCAGGGGAUCUUCGGACCUUGCGCGAUUGAAUGAGCCGAUGUCGGAUUAGCUAGUUGGCGGGGUAAAGGCCCACCAAGGCGACGAUCCGUAGCUGGUCUGAGAGGAUGAUCAGCCACACUGGAACUGAGACACGGUCCAGACUCCUACGGGAGGCAGCAGUGGGGAAUAUUGGACAAUGGGCGCAAGCCUGAUCCAGCCAUACCGCGUGGGUGAAGAAGGCCUUCGGGUUGUAAAGCCCUUUUGUUGGGAAAGAAAAGCAGCAGGUUAAUACCCCGCUGUUCUGACGGUACCCAAAGAUUAAGCACCGGCUAACUUCGUG
This 493-nucleotide ribosomal RNA is filed under the name uncultured bacterium. RNAcentral's name for it is "partial 16S ribosomal RNA". It matches the Rfam family "Bacterial small subunit ribosomal RNA", at positions 27 to 507 of the family's 1533-position model. The record is from RNAcentral.